UGAGGAAUACAUCGGAAUCUACCUUUUCGUGGGGGAUAACGUAGGGAAACUUACGCUAAUACCGCAUACGACCUUCGGGUGAAAGCAGGGGACCUUCGGGCCUUGCGCGAAUGAAUGAGCCGAUGUCGGAUUAGCUAGUUGGCGGGGUAAAGGCCCACCAAGGCGACGAUCCGUAGCUGGUCUGAGAGGAUGAUCAGCCACACUGGAACUGAGACACGGUCCAGACUCCUACGGGAGGCAGCAGUGGGGAAUAUUGGACAAUGGGCGCAAGCCUGAUCCAGCCAUACCGCGUGGGUGAAGAAGGCCUUCGGGUUGUAAAGCCCUUUUGUUGGGAAAGAAAUGCAGUCGAUUAAUACUCGGUUGGUAUGACGGUACCCAAAGAAUAAGCACCGGCUAACUUCGUGCCAGCAGCCGC
RNAcentral lists this ribosomal RNA (415 nucleotides) under uncultured Stenotrophomonas sp. RNAcentral describes it as "bacterial SSU rRNA". It matches the Rfam family "Bacterial small subunit ribosomal RNA", at positions 107 to 518 of the family's 1533-position model. The record is from RNAcentral. Lineage: Bacteria; Pseudomonadati; Pseudomonadota; Gammaproteobacteria; Lysobacterales; Lysobacteraceae.